AUCCCACGGUGUGGACAUUACCUUAAUAAUUCCUUGAAUCUUUCCCAAGCAUCAAACAAAGACUCAUCAUCUCCUUUCCUAAAUGAAGUUAUUUCAUUUCUCAUUUU
Small nucleolar RNA from Lathyrus oleraceus (garden pea), 107 nucleotides. NCBI's taxonomy places the organism in Eukaryota, Viridiplantae, Streptophyta, Magnoliopsida, Fabales, Fabaceae. The record is from RefSeq and is a predicted model, not a curated record.